RNAcentral lists this ribosomal RNA (138 nucleotides) under uncultured bacterium. RNAcentral describes it as "partial 16S ribosomal RNA". It matches the Rfam family "Bacterial small subunit ribosomal RNA", at positions 355 to 509 of the family's 1533-position model. The record is from RNAcentral.
UGGGGAAUAUUGCACAAUGGGGGAAACCCUGAUGCAGCGACGCCGCGUGAAAAGAUGAAGUAUUUCGGUAUGUAAACUUCUAUCAGCAGGGAAGAAAAUGACGGUACCUGACUAAGAAGCCCCGGCUAACUACGUGCC